AUCAUGGCUCAGGAUGAACGCUGGCGGCGUGCCUAACACAUGCAAGUCGAGCGAUUCUCUUCGGAGAAGAGCGGCGGACGGGUGAGUAACGCGUGGGUAACCUGCCCUGUACACACGGAUAACAUACCGAAAGGUAUGCUAAUACGGGAUAAUAUGUUUUUGAUCGCAUGGUCGAAAUAUCAAAGCUCCGGCGGUACAGGAUGGACCCGCGUCUGAUUAGCUAGUUGGUGAGGUAAUGGCUCACCAAGGCGACGAUCAGUAGCCGACCUGAGAGGGUGAUCGGCCACAUUGGAACUGAGACACGGUCCAAACUCCUACGGGAGGCAGCAGUGGGGAAUAUUGCACAAUGGGCGAAAGCCUGAUGCAAGCAACGCCGCGUGAGCGAUGAAGGCCUUCGGGUCGUAAAGCUCUGUCCUCAAGGAAGAUAAUGACGGUACUUGAGGAGGAAGCCCCGGCUAACUACGUGCCAGCCGCUGC
This 477-nucleotide ribosomal RNA is filed under the name uncultured bacterium. Its description in RNAcentral is "bacterial SSU rRNA". It matches the Rfam family "Bacterial small subunit ribosomal RNA", at positions 16 to 518 of the family's 1533-position model. The record is from RNAcentral.